This 578-nucleotide ribosomal RNA is filed under the name uncultured low G+C Gram-positive bacterium. Its description in RNAcentral is "bacterial SSU rRNA". It matches the Rfam family "Bacterial small subunit ribosomal RNA", at positions 39 to 573 of the family's 1533-position model. Lineage: Bacteria; Bacillati; Bacillota. The record is from RNAcentral.
GCGGCGUGCCUACUACAUGCAACGUCGAGCGAACCGGCACGCAGAAAGCUUGCUUCUCUGAUGUUACGCGGCGGACGGGUGAGUAACACGUGGAUAACCUACCUAUAAGACUGGGAUAACUUCGGGAAACCGGAGCUAAUACCGGAUAAUAUUUUGAACCGCAUGGUUCAAAAGUGAAAGACGGUCUUGCUGUCACUUAUAGAUGGAUCCGCGCUGCAUUAGCUAGUUGGUAACGGUAACCGGCUUACCAAGGCAACGAUGCAUAGCCGACCUGAGAGGGUGAUCGGCCACACUGGAACUGAGACACGGUCCAGACUCCUACGGGCAGGCAGCAGUAGCGGAAUCUUCCGCCAAUGGGCGAAAGCCUGACGGAGCAACGCCGCGUGCAGUGCAUGAAGGUCUUCGGAUCGUCAAACACUCUGUUCAUUAGCGGAAGAACAUAUGUGUACAGUAACUGUGCACAUCUUGACGGUACCUACUCAGAAAGCCACGGCUACCUACGUGCCACGCACGCCCGCGGUAAUACCGUACCGUGGCACACGCGUUAUCCGGGACUCAUUCGGGCGUAAAGGCGCGCG